CCAAAAUGUGUGGAACUCAUGAUCAGAGAAUCCUGAUUCUCGAUCACAGAGUCUCAGACACGUAGGACUCAGAGUCUCCAAGCAUUAGGACUCUUGGUCGAAGAGUCCCAGUCCAGUAGGACUCUUCACCAGCCAUCAGAUCAGAUAGGAACCUCUAAUGUGUGUGACCUCACAGGUUCGAACCUAAGCCGGUAGCACAGGAACCAAUUUUUAUACUAAUCGAAGUGACCAUCUAGCAAUGAUAUCCGAUGUUCGGAUAGGUCAAAUAGUUGCAAUCGCAACAUUCAGAACCUACAUGAAUGUGGUUAUUAUAU
This 314-nucleotide long non-coding RNA is filed under the name Elaeis guineensis (African oil palm). Its description in RNAcentral is "long non-coding RNA (EGUI_LNC073475)". Lineage: Eukaryota; Viridiplantae; Streptophyta; Magnoliopsida; Arecales; Arecaceae. The record is from RNAcentral.